Molecule: ribosomal RNA, 699 nt
Filed under: Photobacterium damselae
Lineage: Bacteria; Pseudomonadati; Pseudomonadota; Gammaproteobacteria; Vibrionales; Vibrionaceae
Description: bacterial LSU rRNA
Rfam family: Bacterial large subunit ribosomal RNA
Source: RNAcentral
GAAGGUGCAUUGUAAAGUGUGCUGGAGGUAUCAGAAGUGCGAAUGCUGACAUGAGUAACGACAAAGGGAGUGAAAAACUCCCUCGCCGGAAGACCAAGGGUUCCUGUCCAACGUUAAUCGGGGCAGGGUGAGUCGACCCCUAAGGCGAGGCCGAAAGGCGUAGUCGAUGGGAAACGGGUUAAUAUUCCCGUACUUCUUACUAUUGCGAUGGGGGGACGGAGAAGGCUAGGUGAGCCUGGCGACGGUUGUCCAGGUCCAAGUACGUAGGUGGAUGAAUUAGGCAAAUCCGGUUCAUCAUUAACACUGAGAUACGAUGUCGAGCUACUACGGUAGCGAAGUCAUUGAUGCCAUGCUUCCGGGAAAAGCCUCUAAGCUUCAGAUAGUAAGAAAUCGUACCCCAAACCGACACAGGUGGUCGGGUAGAGAAUACCAAGGCGCUUGAGAGAACUCGGGUGAAGGAACUAGGCAAAAUGGUACCGUAACUUCGGGAGAAGGUACGCUCUUAACGGUGAAGUCCCUCGCGGAUGGAGCUGUCGAGAGUCGCAGAUACCAGGUGGCUGCAACUGUUUAUUAAAAACACAGCACUGUGCAAAAUCGAAAGAUGACGUAUACGGUGUGACGCCUGCCCGGUGCCGGAAGGUUAAUUGAUGGGGUUAGACGUAAGUCGAAGCUCUUGAUCGAAGCCCCGGUAAACGGCGG